AACAACUCACCUGCCGAAUGAAUCAGCCCUGAAAAUGGAUGGCGCUUAAGCGGGCGACCGACACCAUGCCGUCUGUACAAGAUUAAUGUUUUUACAGAUGAGUAGGAGGACGUGGCGGUUGUGUCGAAGCAUGCGUGCAAACGCGUGUGGAACAGCCGCUAGUGCAGAUCUUGGUGGUAGUAGCAAAUAUUCAAGCGAGAUCCUUGAAGGGCGAAGCGGGGAAGGGUUCCACGCGAACAUUGAUUGGGCGUGGGUGAGUCGUUCCUAAGCCGAGUGGCAAUUGCUAAGUAGCGGCGAAAGGGAAGCAGGUUGACAUUCCUGCACACGGAUGUGGAGGCGGUGACGCUUUAAUGAGGGCGAAGACGCUGGCGAUGGCGCUGGGCAGAGAUUUCUUUUCUGUUUGACCGCUGAAGCGCGCGGUGUGGAAUCCGCUUGUCGGGAGAAACACGCGCGUUCGGGCAGAGCGCCGGGGCUAUUCCGGCGUCCAGCUCGCCAUCGACGGCCCUUGAAAAUUUGCCUGCUGGAAUAGUUUUUUAAUAUUCUAUGAAGAUCCACGCCGUGGCGUACCGAUAACCGCAUCAGGUCCCCAAGGUGAACAGCCUCUGCUCUAUAUGAAUAAU
This 620-nucleotide ribosomal RNA is filed under the name Grateloupia catenata. Its description in RNAcentral is "eukaryotic LSU rRNA". It matches the Rfam family "Eukaryotic large subunit ribosomal RNA", at positions 1284 to 1899 of the family's 3401-position model. The record is from RNAcentral. Lineage: Eukaryota; Rhodophyta; Florideophyceae; Halymeniales; Halymeniaceae.